RNAcentral lists this ribosomal RNA (460 nucleotides) under uncultured bacterium. Its description in RNAcentral is "partial 16S ribosomal RNA". It matches the Rfam family "Bacterial small subunit ribosomal RNA", at positions 338 to 795 of the family's 1533-position model. The record is from RNAcentral.
CCUACGGGUGGCAGCAGUGAGGAAUAUUGGUCAAUGGACGAGAGUCUGAACCAGCCAAGUAGCGUGAAGGAUGACUGCCCUAUGGGUUGUAAACUUCUUUUAUAUGGGAAUAAAAUGUUCCACGUGUGGGAUUUUGUAUGUACCAUAUGAAUAAGGAUCGGCUAACUCCGUGCCAGCAGCCGCGGUAAUACGGAGGAUCCGAGCGUUAUCCGGAUUUAUUGGGUUUAAAGGGAGCGUAGGUGGAUUGUUAAGUCAGUUGUGAAAGUUUGCGGCUCAACCGUAAAAUUGCAGUUGAAACUGGCAGUCUUGAGUACAGUAGAGGUGGGCGGAAUUCGUGGUGUAGCGGUGAAAUGCUUAGAUAUCACGAAGAACACCGAUGGCGAAGGCAGUUCACUGGACUGCAACUGACACUGAGGCUCGAAAGUGUGGGUAUCAAACAGGAUUAGAUACCCUGGUAGUC